RNAcentral lists this long non-coding RNA (604 nucleotides) under Capra hircus (goat). Its description in RNAcentral is "lncRNA (ENSCHIG00000006989.1)". Lineage: Eukaryota; Metazoa; Chordata; Mammalia; Artiodactyla; Bovidae. The record is from RNAcentral.
CACAGACUGGGGACGAGCACUUCAGACCAUAAUGGAAGCCAGCCUUUCUGCACACAGAGGGCCGGGGCGCCUGACUCCAAGGUUUGGGUGAUAAACGGGUGGAGGGAAGGCAUAAGCACUGUCCUUCCAGGGCAGACAGUCCACCAGUGCCUCCCCACCUCGAGGUUCCCACUUUGAGAGGAAAUCUACACCCUUUCUCCUACCCCUGGCUGUGAUGAACUAAAUCUCACACCUCUGUCUUGGUGGUGAUAAUUAAAUAUUAUCCGCCUGUCACUUGACGCACAUGUUGUGUGUAUUCUCAGACUUUAAUGAGCUCAUAUUUGUCUUCUGUAAGCAAAAAUAUUUCUUUGAGUCUCUUCUUUUUCAAACUGGGGUGAGCAGUUCAAGCAAAGAUCUCUCACUAUUAAAAAGACAGUCUGCUCCCAUGCAUGUCUGUCUGAACCGUGUCUGCUACUUCUCAGGGGCCAUGGCAGGUGAUGUUUGUCCCUUCAAAGUCAGCCAGUGCUUCCUGAGGUUAAGCUGGUGGUCACAUGGCUGCGGGUGUUGGGAGACUUUGAAAGUGAUGAGAAUAAGAAGAUUUCCUUGGAGGGAGCGAGUACUCUGA